RNAcentral lists this ribosomal RNA (253 nucleotides) under uncultured bacterium. RNAcentral describes it as "partial 16S ribosomal RNA". It matches the Rfam family "Bacterial small subunit ribosomal RNA", at positions 524 to 776 of the family's 1533-position model. The record is from RNAcentral.
UACGUAGGGAGCAAGCGUUAUCCGGAUUUAUUGGGUGUAAAGGGUGCGUAGACGGGAAUUUAAGUUAGUUGUGAAAUCCCUCGGCUUAACUGAGGAACUGCAACUAAAACUGAAUUUCUUGAGUGCGGGAGAGGAAAGUGGAAUUCCUAGUGUAGCGGUGAAAUGCGUAGAUAUUAGGAGGAACACCAGUGGCGAAGGCGACUUUCUGGACCGUAACUGACGUUGAGGCUCGAAAGCGUGGGGAGCAAACAGG